RNAcentral lists this long non-coding RNA (1226 nucleotides) under Prunus dulcis (almond). RNAcentral describes it as "sRNA ncRNA". The record is from RNAcentral. Lineage: Eukaryota; Viridiplantae; Streptophyta; Magnoliopsida; Rosales; Rosaceae.
GUUUGAGAAAACCAGUCGGGCAGCCACCUUCCAAGCCACCCCAACGCCACCUCACGCCACCCUGACCCUCCGGACCGGACCCAGCAGCACCGGCCAGCUCCCGCCAUCAACCCCAGCCCGUCCGCCGCCCCUGCUGCUGUCUGGAGCCGCCGGAAACUGCUGGAAAAUGCAGCAGUUUUGGCAGAUUUUCCAACCUCAGUUUCUCCCUCAUCCGGCCACCAAAUCAGUCGUGUGAGGUAUCGAUUUCUAGCUAUUUUUCGUGCUCUAACUGAUGGUUGGCUGGGUUUUGAUCGAUUUCACCUCUAGAUCACUCGAUUUUCAAUUUGAAAAUCGGCCGAACUUCGGCCGCUGUGAUCGGCCAUUUCCGGCCACUUUUUGGGGUAUUUCCAAGAACAAAAGUGACUCUAAAUGGGGUGUUUUACCUAGGAUAGGAGUUUGGAGUCUUGGUUCUGAGAUUUUUCGACGAACCAUAAUCGCUUUGGACACACGAAUCUACCUGCGUGUGUGGCGGCGCGUGGACGAGGGUGGUGGAGCGACUCUGGACAGUUUUGAGAUCCUCGUGUCGUCACGAGCGCGUAGGAUUUCGCGGAUCUCGAUUCGGAGUCCGUUUGAGCCCCGAAUGAAUUUUUCAUAUCGCGCGAUCCUUGGGUGCAAUGUCGUCCAAUCGUUGGAUCGCGCUGAUUUUUGGAUAUGUCGUACUACAUGAUUCUAGGAUCGUGUAGGAUUCGACGGAUUGCGAAUCAGAGUCCCGGAUACUCCGAAAUCGCGAACCCUGGGGCUAGGGUUUGGAUUUUAAGCGAUAACGCGAUUUUGGCUAAUCUGACCGUCCGUUCCGGACCAAAUUCGCAGAACAUGGUUCCUCCUUUGUGAGAAACCUUCAGAGAAGCCCAGAUUGGCCAUCGGAGACCACAGACCCACGGGGUCCCGGAUCGGCCGAUUUGGCAGUUUAUCGCUUAGCUGAGCGUCGGGUAUUCCAAAACUGGUCUAAGUGUCUGAAGGGGCUAAUGUGGGCAUAGGAGUAACUUGGAAUGAGAACACGUAUUUCUAGGAGCCGGGGGCAGGGUGUUUAAUUUAAAUUCUUUUUAUCCAGCAGUUUAUUAAUUUAUUACUCAUGUAUAAGCAGGCACCAGGGGUCCGACCGAACCGCAGGAGGGACCUUCGAAGGGUCUAGCUAGCUCGAACCAGCAGUGAGUGGACUUUUCUUUCUUAAAAGAUUUUAUAAUUAU